RNAcentral lists this long non-coding RNA (400 nucleotides) under Rattus norvegicus (Norway rat). RNAcentral describes it as "long non-coding RNA NONRATT013381". Lineage: Eukaryota; Metazoa; Chordata; Mammalia; Rodentia; Muridae. The record is from RNAcentral.
GCCUUCUUUGCACCGCUUCUUUCCGAACUAAAGAAGAAUUCUUUCAUGGACUAGAACUGGUACCAAAGUCCGUUUGGAGCCCGGAAUAUCCGCACCACGGAACUUCUUCGUAACCCGGCGUCUCCAGGCUGGUGAGCAAGCAAAGGGGAGCAAAAAAGAUGCGGGAGGGCGCUGCUGAGAGACGCCGGGGACACAGGCGGCCAAUGCUCCUUCCCUUCCUGCUGCCUUUGUUCUGCCCCGCGCUCUCUGAGCAGAUCCGUUACAAGAUCCCCGAGGAAAUGCCCACCGGCUCGGUAGUGGGAAACCUCGCCAAGGACUUGGGCUUCGGUGUCCAGGAGUUACCGACGCGAAAGCUACGCAUCAGUUCUGAGAAGCCUUACUUCACUGUGAGCUCAGAGAG